RNAcentral lists this ribosomal RNA (465 nucleotides) under uncultured bacterium. RNAcentral's name for it is "partial 16S ribosomal RNA". It matches the Rfam family "Bacterial small subunit ribosomal RNA", at positions 28 to 507 of the family's 1533-position model. The record is from RNAcentral.
GACGAACGCUGGCGGCGUGCUUAACACAUGCAAGUCGAACGGAAAGGCCCCUUCGGGGGUACUCGAGUGGCGAACGGGUGAGUAACACGUGAGUAGCCUGCCCUUGACUUCGGGAUAACUUCAGGAAACUGGGGCUAAUACCGGAUAGGAAUCCUUGCUUCAUGGUGGGGGUUGGAAAGCUUCGGCGGUUUUGGAUGGACUCGCGGCUUAUCUGCGUGUUGGUGGGGUAGUGGCUUACCAAGGCUUUGACGGGUAGCCGGCCUGAGAGGGCGACCGGCCACAGUGGGACUGAGAUACGGCCCAGACUCCGACGGGAGGCAGAAGGGGGGAAUAUUGAACAAGGGGCGGAAGCCGGAUGCAGAAACGCCGCGUGCGGGAGGACGGCCUUCGGGUUGUAAACCGAUUUCAGCAGGGGCGAAGCUUGUGGUGACGGUACCUGCAGAAGAAGCACCGGCUAACUACGUG